RNAcentral lists this ribosomal RNA (305 nucleotides) under Inlecypris auropurpureus. RNAcentral's name for it is "partial 12S ribosomal RNA". It matches the Rfam family "Bacterial small subunit ribosomal RNA", at positions 879 to 1348 of the family's 1533-position model. The record is from RNAcentral. Lineage: Eukaryota; Metazoa; Chordata; Actinopteri; Cypriniformes; Danionidae.
ACUACGAGCACCAGCUUAAAACCCAAAGGACCUGACGGUGCCUUAGAUCCCCCUAGAGGAGCCUGUUCUAGAACCGAUUAUCCCCGUUAAACCUCACCACUCCUAGCAACAUCAGCCUAUAUACCACCGUCGCCAGCUUACCCUGUGAAGGUAUAAAAGUAAGCACAAUGGGUACAACCCAGUACGUCAGGUCGAGGUGUAGCAAAUGGGGUGGGAAGAAAUGGGCUACAUUUUCUAUCGCAGAAUAAAACGGAUACGCAACAUGAAAAUUGAUGCUUGAAGGAGGAUUUAGUAGUAAAAGGGAA